CUUGAGUGCAGUUGAGGCAGGCGGAAUUCGUGGUGUAGCGGUGAAAUGCUUAGAUAUCACGAAGAACUCCGAUUGCGAAGGCAGCCUGCUAAGCUGCAACUGACAUUGAGGCUCGAAAGUGUGGGUAUCAAACAGGAUUAGAUACCCUGGUAGUCCACACGGUAAACGAUGAAUACUCGCUGUUUGCGAUAUACUGCAAGCGGCCAAGCGAAAGCGUUAAGUAUUCCACCUGGGGAGUACGCCGGCAACGGUGAAACUCAAAGGAAUUGACGGGGGCCCGCACAAGCGGAGGAACAUGUGGUUUAAUUCGAUGAUACGCGAGGAACCUUACCCGGGCUUAAAUUGCAGAUGAAUUACGGUGAAAGCCGUAAGCCGCAAGGCAUCUGUGAAGGUGCUGCAUGGUUGUCGUCAGCUCGUGCCGUGAGGUGUCGGCUUAAGUGCCAUAACGAGCGCAACCCUUGUUGUCAGUUACUAACAGGUUCCGCUGAGGACUCUGACAAGACUGCCAUCGUAAGAUGUGAGGAAGGUGGGGAUGACGUCAAAUCAGCACGGCCCUUACGUCCGGGGCUACACACGUGUUACAAUGGGGGGUACAGAGGGCCGCUACCACGCGAGUGGAUGCCGAUCCCCAAAACCUCUCUCAGUUCGGACUGGAGUCUGCAACCCGACUCCACGAAGCUGGAUUCGCUAGUAAUCGCGCAUCAGCCACGGCGCGGUGAAUACGUUCCCGGGCCUUGUACACACCGCCCGUCAAGCCAUGGGAGCCGGGGGUACCUGAAGUGCGUAACCGCGAGGAGCGCCCUAGGGUAAAACUGGUGACUGGGGCUA
RNAcentral lists this ribosomal RNA (828 nucleotides) under uncultured organism. RNAcentral describes it as "SSU rRNA". It matches the Rfam family "Bacterial small subunit ribosomal RNA", at positions 641 to 1483 of the family's 1533-position model. The record is from RNAcentral.